RNAcentral lists this transfer RNA (73 nucleotides) under Stegodyphus mimosarum. It matches the Rfam family "tRNA". Rfam says of the family: Transfer RNA (tRNA) molecules are approximately 80 nucleotides in length. The record is from Rfam by way of RNAcentral. Lineage: Eukaryota; Metazoa; Arthropoda; Arachnida; Araneae; Eresidae.
GUAUUCGUGGUGUAGUGGUCAGUACACUCGGCGCGUAACCGAGAGGUCAGCGGUUCAAUUCCCGGCGAAGGCA